GGCGCCGGUCGUGGGGCUCCCGGUCUCCGGGACGGGGUUCGACUCCCCGCGGUGUC
This 56-nucleotide small RNA is filed under the name Lepisosteus oculatus (spotted gar). The record is from RNAcentral. Lineage: Eukaryota; Metazoa; Chordata; Actinopteri; Semionotiformes; Lepisosteidae.